Molecule: ribosomal RNA, 253 nt
Filed under: uncultured bacterium
Lineage: Bacteria
Also listed under: 1 other name
Description: partial 16S ribosomal RNA
Rfam family: Bacterial small subunit ribosomal RNA
Source: RNAcentral
UACGUAGGAUGCCAGCGUUGUCCGGAUUUACUGGGCGUAAAGCGCGCGCAGGCGGCACUGUAAGUAAGGUGUGAAAUAUCCCUGCUCAACGGGGAGGGUGCACUUUAGACUGCAGAGCUAGAGGACGGUAGAGGGGGGUGGAAUUGCUGGUGUAGCGGUGAAAUGCGUAGAGAUCAGCAGGAACACCCGUGGCGAAGGCGGCCCCCUGGGCCGAACCUGACGCUGAGGCGCGAAGGCUAGGGGAGCGAACGGG